CGUAGGCGGCCUGCUAAGUCGGACGUGAAAUCCCUCGGCUCAACCGGGGAACUGCGUCCGAUACUGGCGAGGCUUGAAUCCGGAAGAGGAGGGCGGAAUUCCCGGUGUAGCGGUGAAAUGCGUAGAUAUCGGGAGGAACAUCAGUGGCGAAGGCGGCCCUCUGGUCCAGUACUGACACUCAAGUGCGAAAGCGUGGGGAGCAAACA
Molecule: ribosomal RNA, 206 nt
Filed under: uncultured bacterium
Lineage: Bacteria
Description: partial 16S ribosomal RNA
Rfam family: Bacterial small subunit ribosomal RNA
Source: RNAcentral